GAUGAACGCUGGCGGCGUGCCUAAUACAUGCAAGUCGAGCGAACAGACGAGGAGCUUGCUCCUCUGACGUUAGCGGCGGAAGGGUGAGUAACACGUGGAUAACCUACCUAUAAGACUGGGAUAACUUCGGGAAACCGGAGCUAAUACCGGAUAACAUGUUGAACCGCAUGGUUCAACAGUGAAAGACGGUUUUGCUGUCACUUAUAGAUGGAUCCGCGCCGCAUUAGCUAGUUGGUAAGGUAACGGCUUACCAAGGCAACGAUGCGUAGCCGACCUGAGAGGGUGAUCGGCCACACUGGAACUGAGACACGGUCCAGACUCCUACGGGAGGCAGCAGUAGGGAAUCUUCCGCAAUGGGCGAAAGCCUGACGGAGCAACGCCGCGUGAGUGAAGAAGGUCUUCGGAUCGUAAAACUCUGUUAUUAGGGAAGAACAAAUGUGUAAGUAACUAUGCACGUCUUGACGGUACCUAAUCAGAAAGCCACGGCUAACUACGUG
Molecule: ribosomal RNA, 497 nt
Filed under: uncultured bacterium
Lineage: Bacteria
Description: partial 16S ribosomal RNA
Rfam family: Bacterial small subunit ribosomal RNA
Source: RNAcentral